Molecule: unclassified non-coding RNA, 230 nt
Filed under: plant metagenome
Description: partial contains small subunit ribosomal RNA, internal transcribed spacer 1, and 5.8S ribosomal RNA
Source: RNAcentral
UCUCCGUAGGUGAACCUGCGGAGGGAUCAUUACAGAGUUCAUGCCCUCCGGGUAGAUCUCCCACCCAUUGCUAUAACUACUCUCGUUGCUUUGGCGGGCCGCUGGGCCCUGCCCGGCCGCCGGCCCCGGCUGGCGCGUGCCCGCCAGAGACCUCACAAACUCUGAAUGUUAGUGUCGUCAGUGUAACUAUACAAUCGUUAAAACUUUCAACAACGGAUCUCUUGGUUCUG